This 1870-nucleotide ribosomal RNA is filed under the name human gut metagenome. Its description in RNAcentral is "bacterial LSU rRNA". It matches the Rfam family "Bacterial large subunit ribosomal RNA", at positions 1070 to 2925 of the family's 2925-position model. The record is from RNAcentral.
AGGAUGUGCGUCCGCCCAGACAACCAGGAUGUUGGCUUAGAAGCAGCCAUACAUUUAAAGAGUGCGUAAUAGCUCACUGGUCGAGAGACCCUGCGCCGAAGAUUACCGGGGCUAAAGUACGAAACCGAAGCUGUGGCUACGACGUAAGUCGUGGGGUAGGGGAGCGUUCUGUGAGGGCUGAAGUCGUUCUGUAAGGAACGGUGGACUUCACAGAAGUGAGAAUGUUGGUAUGAGUAGCGAAAAGAAUGGUGAGAAUCCAUUCCACCGAAAGCAUAAGGAUUCCUGGGCAACGAUCGUCGUCCCAGGGUAAGUCGGGACCUAAUCCGAGGCAUGGAGCGUAGGAGAUGGACAACUGGCAGAUAUUCCAGUACCGGUAAUGAUUGUUUGAGCGAUGGAGUGACACAGGAGGGCAGGCAGGCAGGAGAUUGGUUGUUCCUGUACAAGCGUGUAGGAUGGGACGCAGGCAAAUCCGCGUCCUGUGAGUCUGAGGCGUGAUGUGGAGGUUCCGGAAACGGAACUGAAGCUGCUGACCCCACACUGUCGAGAAAAGCUUCUAGUUAGAGAAUUACCGCCCGUACCGUAAACCGACACAGGUAUGCGGGGAGAGAAUCCUAAGGUGCGCGGGAGAACCCUCGUUAAGGAACUCGGCAAAAUGUACCCGUAACUUCGGGAUAAGGGUAGCCGCUGUUGUGAAGUCUGCACAGACGGAGCAUGAGGCGGUCGCAGAGAAGAGGCCCAAGCGACUGUUUACCACAAACACAGGUGCCUGCUAAAGAGAAAUCUGACGUAUAGGUGCUGACACCUGCCCAGUGCCGGAAGGUUAAGGAAGGAUGUCCGGAGCAAUCCAAAGCAUUCGACCGAAGCCCCGGUGAACGGCGGCCGUAACUAUAACGGUCCUAAGGUAGCGAAAUUCCUUGUCGGGUAAGUUCCGACCCGCACGAAAGGUGUAACGAUUUGGGCACUGUCUCAACGAGGGACCCGGUGAAAUUGAAGUACCUGUGAAGAUGCAGGUUACCCGCGACUGGACAGAAAGACCCCAUGGAGCUUUACUGUAACCUGACAUUGGGUUCUGAUACAUCACGUACAGGAUAGGUGGGAGGCAUGGAAGCGAGGACGCUAGUCUUCGUGGAGCCGCCGUUGGGAUACCACCCUUGAUGUAUCGGAAUUCUAACCGUAGGAGUAACGAAACUCGGGACAGUGUCAGGCGGGCAGUUUGACUGGGGCGGUCGCCUCCCAAAGAGUAACGGAGGCGCCCAAAGGUUCCCUCAGCGCGGCCGGAAAUCGCGCGAAGAGUGUAAAGGCAGAAGGGAGCUUGACUGAGAGCCAAACACGGCGAUCAGGUACGAAAGUAGGGCUUAGUGAUCCGGUGGCAUCCAAGUGGAAGGGCCAUCGCUCAACGGAUAAAAGCUACCCUGGGGAUAACAGGCUAAUCUCUCCCAAGAGUCCAUAUCGACGGGGAGGUUUGGCACCUCGAUGUCGGCUCAUCACAUCCUGGGGCUGAAGUCGGUCCCAAGGGUUGGGCUGUUCGCCCAUUAAAGUGGUACGUGAGCUGGGUUCAGAACGUCGUGAGACAGUUCGGUCCCUAUCCAUCGCGGGCGCAAGAGAUUUGAAGGGGGCUGCUCCUAGUACGAGAGGACCGGAGUGGACGAACCAAUGGUGUACCAAUUAUCUCGCCAGAGGUAUAGUUGGGUAGCUACGUUCGGAAAGGAUAAACGCUGAAAGCAUCUAAGCGUGAAACCAGCCUUAAGAUGAGAUCUCUCAUAGAGUAAUCUAGUAAGACACCUUGGAGAAGACGAGGUUGAUAGGUCGGGAGUGUAAGUACAGUAAUGUAUUCAGCGGACCGAUACUAAUAUGUCGAGGGCUUGACUUA